GGGGGGAAACCCCUCGCCCGCUUGUCAAACUCCAAACCCACUGUCAUCAAAGAUAGUCGGAGUCCGGACUGCUGGGGUAAGCUUGUAGUCCGUAAGGGAGACAACCCAGCCCGUGGUUAAGGUCCCCAAGUGUCGACUAAGUGUAAACACUAAAGGGCGUCCCAAGCCCAAGACAGCUGGAAGGUUAGCUUAGAAGCAGCUACCCUUCAAAGAGUGCGUAACAGCUCACCAGUCGAGGUUUGGGGCCCCGAAAAUUGACGGGGCUCAAGUCGACCACCGAUACCACGGAGUACCGCAAGGUAAUCUCGUAGGAAGGCGUUGUGUUCGGGCUGAAGCAGGGCUGUGAAGUCCUGUGGACCGUUCACAAACGAAAAUCCUGGUAAUAGUAGCAGCAUAGCAGGGUGAGAAUCCCUGCCGCCGAAGGGGCCAGGUUUCCUCGGCAAUGUUCGUCAGCCGAGGGUUAGUCGGUCCUAAGACGUACCGUAAUUCGAGUACGCCAAAAGGGAAACAGGUUAAUAUUCCUGUACCAUUUAGCACUGAGUCUGACGUCUCAGGGCAGGCCGAGCGGCGUCGUCGCGCCGUCUAAGCAGCGAAACCCGUGGAGAGCCGUAAUGGCGAGAAUCGGGCGAAUCUGUAAUGGCUCAAGUCGGCUGCACCCAGGGACCCGUGAAAAGGCAGCUAAAUGUCCGUACCGAGAACUGACACAGGUGCCCCUAGCUGAAAAGGCUAAGGCGUGUCGGAGUACUUCAGUUAAGGGAAUUCGGCAAAUUAGCUCCGUAACUUCGGGAUAAGGAGUGCCUGCUGUGAAGACAGCAGGUCGCAGUGACCAGGGGGCUCUAACUGUCUAAUACCAACAUAGGAGAUUGCAAACCCGUAAGGGCUAGUACAAUCUCUGAAUCCUGCUCAGUGCAGGUACCUGAAACCCCGGUUCAACGGGAAGAAGGGCCUGUAAACAGCGGGGGUAACUAUGACCCUCUUAAGGUAGCGUAGUACCUUGUCGCUUAAUUGGCGACUUGCAUGAAUGGAUCAAUGAGAGCCCUACUGUCCCUAACUGGAAUCCGGUGAAGCUUACAUUCUAGUGCACAGUCUAGAGACCUCUAGGGGGAAGUGAAGACCCCGUGGAGCUUUACUGCAGCCUGUCGCUGGGUUGUGGUUCUGGAUGUACAGAGUAGGUAGGAGGCGUCGAAGCGUGUGCGCCAGCAUGCGUGGAGCCACAAUUGGGACACUACCCUUCUGGGACUACGACCCUAACUCUGCGAAGAGGACCCCGAUAGGUGGGCAGUUUGCCUGGGGCGGGACGCCCUUGAAAAGAUAUCAAGGGCGCGCAAUGGUUGACUCAAGUGGGUCGGAAACUCACUGAAGAGUGCAAGAGCAUAAGUCAGCCUGACGUUAUUCAGCACAGCAGUGGAUGACGAGACGAAAGUCGGUUCUAGCGAACUUUUGAGCCUCCUUGGUGGGGGCCAAAAAUGACAGAAAAGUUACCCCGGGGAUAAUUGAGUCGUUGCCGGCAAGAGUACAUAUCGACCCGGCAGCUUGCUACCUCGAUGUCGGUUCUUUCCAUCCUGGCCGUGCAGCAUCGGCCAAGGGUGAGGUUGUUCGCCUAUUAAAGGAGAUCGUGAGCUGGGUUUAGACCGUCGUGAGACAGGUCGGUUACUAUCUACUAGAGGUGCACAAGGUCUGCGGGUAAGCUGCUUUUAGUACGAGAGGAACCAAGCAGCGGCGCCACUGGUGUACCGGUUGUCUGACAAGGCAUCGCCGGGCAGCUACGCGCUAAGGAAUAAGAGCUGAAUGCAUCUAAGCUCGAAAUCUGACCUAAAAAGAGACCUUUUUAAGGAUUCCGGUAGAAGACCGGUUUGAUAGAAACGGGAUGUAAGCACCAAGGCAACGAGGUGUUCAGUCCGCGUUCACUAACUAUCCGUUCCU
Molecule: ribosomal RNA, 1923 nt
Filed under: Methanosarcina mazei TMA
Lineage: Archaea; Methanobacteriati; Methanobacteriota; Methanomicrobia; Methanosarcinales; Methanosarcinaceae
Description: large subunit ribosomal RNA
Rfam family: Archaeal large subunit ribosomal RNA
Source: RNAcentral